Molecule: ribosomal RNA, 198 nt
Filed under: uncultured bacterium
Lineage: Bacteria
Description: partial 16S ribosomal RNA
Rfam family: Bacterial small subunit ribosomal RNA
Source: RNAcentral
ACGCUCGACACCUACGGGCAGCAGUGGGGAAUAUUGCACAAUGGGGGAAACCCUGAUGCAGCAACGCCGCGUGAAGGAAGAAGGUUUUCGGAUCGUAAACUUCUAUCAAUAGGGAAGAAAGAAAUGACGGUACCUAAAUAAGAAGCCCCGGCUAACUACGUGCCAGCAGCCGCGGUAAUCUGAGCGGGCUGGCAAGGC